RNAcentral lists this unclassified non-coding RNA (381 nucleotides) under uncultured Oligoflexales bacterium. RNAcentral describes it as "contains 16S-23S intergenic spacer region". The record is from RNAcentral. Lineage: Bacteria; Pseudomonadati; Bdellovibrionota; Oligoflexia; Oligoflexales.
UCCGAUUUAACAUCGGCAGUCUCUCUAGAGUGCCCAACUUAAUGCUGGCAACUAAAGACAGGGGUUGCGCUCGUUGCCGGACUUAACCGAACAUCUCACGACACGAGCUGACGACAGCCAUGCAGCACCUGUGUCCUCCGUCCCCGAAGGGACUCCAUGUGUUUCCACUAGGAUUCAGAGGCAAGUCAAGGCUAGGUAAGGUUUUGCGCGUUGCUUCGAAUUAAACCACAUAAUCCACCGCUUGUGCGGGUCCCCGUCAAUUCCUUUGAGUUUUAAUCUUGCGACCGUACUUCCCAGGCGGGAUACUUAACGCGUUAACUAAGCUACAGCCGGGGUCAAUACCAGCUACAGCGAGUAUCCAUCGUUUAGGGCGUGGACUAC